GAAGUCCGCCAGGCAGCCGCGGCACGGCAACGUGUCGAGGAAAGUCCGGGCCCCAUAGAGCAGGAUGCCGGCUAACGGCCGGGCGCCGUGAGGCGACAGACAGUGCAACAGAAAGAUACCGCCGAUGGCCGCCCCGACUUUGACGCCGCAAGACGGCAAAGUCUCGCUCUUGAGUGAGCAGGGGCGGAUCAGGCAAGGGUGAAAUGGCGGGGUAAGAGCCCACCGCGGACGUGGUAACACGGACGGCAUGGCAAACCUCAUCCGGGGCAAGGCCAAAUAGGGGAGCAUUGACGUUGCUCGCGUCGCUCCCGGGUAGGCUGCUAAUGACUAUCGGCGACGAUAGUCGACGAGGCCGUCAGCAAUGGCGGUCCCAGAGGAAUGGCUGCCCACGACAGAACCCGGCUUAUCGGCGGACUUCCACA
Molecule: RNase P RNA, 422 nt
Filed under: Rhodocyclaceae bacterium
Lineage: Bacteria; Pseudomonadati; Pseudomonadota; Betaproteobacteria; Rhodocyclales; Rhodocyclaceae
Description: RNase P RNA component class A
Rfam family: Bacterial RNase P class A
About the family: Ribonuclease P (RNase P) is a ubiquitous endoribonuclease, found in archaea, bacteria and eukarya as well as chloroplasts and mitochondria. Its best characterised activity is the generation of mature 5'-ends of tRNAs by cleaving the 5'-leader elements of precursor-tRNAs.
Source: RNAcentral